Non-coding RNA from Sus scrofa (pig), 4390 nucleotides. NCBI's taxonomy places the organism in Eukaryota, Metazoa, Chordata, Mammalia, Artiodactyla, Suidae. The record is from RefSeq and is a predicted model, not a curated record.
CACUUGCGCAAGCGCAGAAGGAGAGAGCCGGAUGUGAUUUCACCUACCUUGCAGGCUCUUGCGCCUCCUCAGCCAUAGCUUGACCCUCAACCUGUGGCUUGGGUACCUAGGAAAGAACUGAGUUAGGUCAGGGUCGAUUAGUGCUCUUUUAUUUCAGCAGCUGGUCCCAACAGCUGCAUUGUUUGUGCUUGAAGGCAGAUUGCCUUAAUUUUAGGUAUAACGCUUUAUGUUAUGUAGACUUUGAGCCUGUUUCCUAGUCAGCGGCAAUAAUACUUAGAAUAAUACUUAAAAUAAUUCCAGCUUCUUAGGAUUGUGGGGAAGAUUAAAGGAUUGCGAUGGCUCUUUGUAAACUGAAGUGUUUUAUAAAAGGUGUGAUCGGGUAUUAACUUCCUGGCUUACCGUCUGUUAGAUUGAUGAGGACCUUUCGCACCUCAAUUCAUCUUCAAAGAGAGACAUAAACCUCAGGUAGAUCAAGUACAUGCAGACCCUCUGGUGGUGCAACUUCAAAUCAUCUAUUACUCAUAAGAACUACUACACUCCAGCUGCAGGAAUUGGUACAUCAGGACCGAUGUCAGUGUGAGUGGUUCUGUUGCGGUUUCACCACGGAAGGAUUACUUGAGAAUUGUUUGCUUUGGGUCCAGUUUCAAAGCUGGGGUUUAAAGGGUCUGUAGCUCGUGACCUGUGGCGGCUGACCAUUAGGACUGCUCCGUGUAGCGCCUUUGUACCCUGCUGUCCAAACCACAACUGGUCCACAACAGCAAGACCAGAGCUGGGGCAGGGCAAAGGAGCCAGGGAAGGUGGAGCGUGGAGUUGUUCUAGAGUAACGAUGACGCGCUCCUUGACUUUGUACGUACACGGCACAUUAUUUAUUGGAUCCUUUUAACAACCCAAUGAUGUAGGCAGCAUAAGUGAUCUUAUCCGGAGCUUUCCAAUCAAAGCAACAAACCUAUCAAGUUUUUGAGUGUCUUUGCUCUAAGUCAUGCAGCUAGGGUUCAGACCUGCAGCAGAUGGAAGUUCCCAGGAGGCUGGGGGCUAGGAGUCGAACUGGAGCUGGAGCUGAGACCUACACCACAGCCACAGCAAUAUGGGCUCUGAGCCACAUCUAAGACUUAUGCUGCAGCUUGUGACAAUGCUGGAUCCUUAACCGACUGAGCGAGGCCAGGGAUCAAACCCGCAUCCUCCGGAUACUAGUUGGGUUCUUAACCUGCUGAGCCACAAUGGGAACUCCCCUUCCUGUUCUCUUGAUUCCAUUUGCUUGUCCCAGUUGCAGAGGAGAACUGGAGUUACAAGCCUAGUGUAACAGGGCCUGCAGGCUGCAGAAAGGGGCAGAAAUCCUUCACCAGAACAAUCUAACUCGCUGAUAUUCUCCAGACCAAAAAAGGAUUGGCCCUACAUCAAUCUUUGGGAAAAAUCAUUUGUUUCCUAAAAAGUCAUUUUUGUAUCAUCAUCAAUCAUCCUGAAAGGAUUUUUCAAAAUUAGCUUUUAAAUAAAAUAAUUAUUUUGUUUUUGCCUAAUUUAACCCCAUUCUCUAUUUUAAACCCUAUUACUGUGAUUUAAUGUGUUUUUUCUUCUGGAUGAUUAUCUAUUUAGUGAAUUUUUUGUGUCUUUUUUUUUUUUUUUUUUUUUUUUUUUUGUCUUUUUAGGGCCGCACCCAGGGCAUAUAGAAGUUCCCAGGCCAGGGGUCGAAUUGGUGCUCUAGCUGCCAGCCUAUAUCACAGCCACAGCAAGGUGGGACUCAAGCCUUGUCUGCGACCCAUGCCAUAGCUCAUGGCCAUGUCAGAUCCUUAACCCACUGAGUGAGGCCAGGGAUCAAACCCGAGCUCUCAUGGAUCCUAGUCAGGUUCGUUACCAGUGAGCCCUGGUGUGAACUCCCAGGAUGAUUACUUUAAAUGCUUGAAGACAGCUUGUUCUAAAUUAGCAAGGCCAUGGUCUGAAUGGCCUUAUUCCUUCACUAACUCUCUUAGCUAUUCAUUCUCCCUUGAAAGGAUCUUUUAGUUCCCUUAAUUUCCUCUUACUUGAAAGCUCAAUGUGACUGUUUCCAUACAGAACAGACAGAUCUGUUUUCCUUUCUGAGAAUGUGGAGUCACACUUGUUCCAGUUAUAGGAAGUCAUUUUGAUGAGAGGUUUUGUGUGUUUCAGUGUUGGAAGGUAGUUUUAGCUUUGAUAUUUGCUUGUUUUCAGAGGAGUUAGAAGUCUCACAGUGAACUCUUGAUGCUAUUUAAAGUUAGGAUUUUUUUUAUACUUAGUUACAAAAUUAUAGGUUGUCUUUAUAAUAUGAAGGAUAAAACCAAGAAGGUAGUAUUCCUGCAGCAGUGGAGAGACAUUGAUUAAGACUAUGUACCUUCUAACUUCUAGAAACACAACUCAGAAUUAUCCUGUUCCUCUUUUGGCUGCCUUACUUUGAAAAUUCGUAACUUCAAGGACAUGGGAAAAGUCUGAGUGACUAAAUACAAUUCACUCACUUCUCCCACAAAGAGGGGCUUCAGCUGAAGAAAAAACCAUGUACUUCUAGAGAAAAUAGGGAGACAGUUAUUUUAGGAGUCACUGAAAUGGAAAAAUUCAGCACAGAUCAAGAGGGGCAAGAACGUCGCUGGAUGAAACUGAUUUGCUGAAGUUCAUCAGCUCUUUAGCACUUCAGUUCUUGACUCUCUUUAAAAGGAACCACACACUAAUGACUGGUUUUCUUGUAACCAAAUGUUUCCUUUCUCAUCUUCAAUCCAUUUUUUAACAUAGCAAAAAUUUAUAGUUGCUGAAAAUGCCUGCUUCAGUGAAUGGUAAGUUUAUUGGGACCACAGAAAGCAAAUCAAGAAUCUCUCUCCCUCUCUCCCUCUUUCUCUUUCUCCCCCCUCUUUUCUUCUCCCUCCCCCUUCCUCCCUCUCUCUGUCUCUCUCUCACACACACACACAAACACACACACAAGCACACAUUUUUGUGCGAAGUAUAACCUACCAUAUAAAAUGUACAAGUACAGUUUAAAGAAUAGUCGAGAACUGUAUGCCAGUGCAACCAUCAUACAUGUCACAAUAUAGAAAUUUUCUAACACAUCAACAACCCCUCUGGGCAGUCUUUCUUACCCCAGUCCCCCUGCUGUCCAUGACGGGUCACCCCUUAUCAAGACUUUUAUGAGAAUCACUUCCUGCUUUCAAUUAUACUAUUAUCACACAUGCAUUUAUUAUCAUACAUAUACAUAUGUUAUCAUAUCACACAAGUAAUAUGUGUACUUUUGCUUGUUUUUAAAUAUAAGUGAGAUGAUAUAUUUUGUCUUGCUUUUUUCUUAAUCUUUCACAAGAUGCAUUUAGAUUGUGUGCAGCUAACCAAAGGAUUUUUUAUCAUAGCCAUCUUCAUUGCUGCAAAGAUUCUGUUUUAUAAAAUCCCACAACUUCUUUAUCCUUUCUGCCAGUUAAGACCAUUAGUUUCCAGCAGGGAAUAACUAUAUCAACCACACUGCUGUGAACAUUCCUGUGUGUGUAUCCAGGGUAUAGCUAGGAGUGAAAUUUCAUUCAUUUGGUAGGCAUAUCCUGAACAAAACCAUGUAGCAUGUACUGUUAAGCCAUUUCUCGUUCAUUCUACAUGUGAGUUCAUUUUUUUGUCUUUUUAGGGGCACACCUGCAGCAUAUGGAAGUUCCCCAGGCUAGGGGUUGAAUGGAAGGUUUGCACCACAGCCACAGCAUUGAAGAAUCCUAACCUCAUCUGUGACCUACACUACAGCUCACGGCAAUGCCAGCUCCUUAACCCACUGAGUGAAGCCAGGGAUCAAACCUGCAUCCUCAUGGAUCCUAGUCAGGUUCAUUACUACUGAGCCACUGCAGAAACGCCUACACAUGAGUUCUUGUAGUUCCAUGGCCUUGCCAACUCUUGGUAUCGUGAGACCAGAAAAAUUUUUUCAAUCAUGUUGCAACUUACAGGCUGCAACCAAGACAUUCCAGGAAAAACAAAGUUUUGGGAGAGAUUCUUAUAAUUUUUCUGUAAAUUCAAAAAUUUUUAUACUCAGUCCUAGCUAAUAUUUUCAACAAGUGGAGAUCCACAGACCACAGGUCCAGAUAUUUAAAAGUUAUAAAUAAGUCAAGGCAGUAAAUGGUAAAAUCUAAAAGUCACCAGUUUGGUGACACUGUAUUGGAAUCUCAUGAUUUAAUAUGCAUUCCCCUUGUCACUAAGGAGGUCUGUCACCUCCUCCAGUUUAUCAGCCAUUUGUAUUUCCUAAUUUGUGAAGUGCUUCUUUGAAGUAUUUUGUCCAUUUUUAGGGUAGGGUUUUCUGUUUUUCUCAGUGUGGAAGGUCUCUAAAUGUUCUGAAUACUAGUCCUCUGUCAGUUGUAGAGUUUGUUUAUUUAUUUAUUGUCUUUUUUUUUUUUUCUGGCCUUUUCUAGGGUCACAUCCGCAACAUAUGGAGGUU